GUCUUCGAGUCGUUGAUUUCACACUGCCGAGAAAAGCCUCUAGAUAGAAAAUAGGUGCCCGUACCGCAAACCGACACAGGUAGUCAAGAUGAGAAUUCUAAGGUGAGCGAGCGAACUCUCGUUAAGGAACUCGGCAAAAUGACCCCGUAACUUCGGGAGAAGGGGUGCUCUUUAGGGUUAACGCCCAGAAGAGCCGCAGUGAAUAGGCCCAAGCGACUGUUUAUCAAAAACACAGGUCUCUGCUAAACCGUAAGGUGAUGUAUAGGGGCUGACGCCUGCCCGGUGCUGGAAGGUUAAGAGGAGUGGUUAGCUUCUGCGAAGCUACGAAUCGAAGCCCCAGUAAACGGCGGCCGUAACUAUAACGGUCCUAAGGUAGCGAAAUUCCUUGUCGGGUAAGUUCCGACCCGCACGAAAGGCGUAACGAUUUGGGCACUGUCUCAACGAGAGACUCGGUGAAAUCAUAGUACCUGUGAAGAUGCAGGUUACCCGCGACAGGACGGAAAGACCCCGUGGAGCUUUACUGUAGCCUGAUAUUGAAAUUCGGCACAGCUUGUACAGGAUAGGUAGGAGCCUUUGAAACGUGAGCGCUAGCUUACGUGGAGGCGCUGGUGGGAUACUACCCUAGCUGUGUUGGCUUUCUAACCC
RNAcentral lists this ribosomal RNA (645 nucleotides) under Staphylococcus aureus. Its description in RNAcentral is "bacterial LSU rRNA". It matches the Rfam family "Bacterial large subunit ribosomal RNA", at positions 1582 to 2228 of the family's 2925-position model. Lineage: Bacteria; Bacillati; Bacillota; Bacilli; Caryophanales; Staphylococcaceae. The record is from RNAcentral.